Molecule: transfer RNA, 74 nt
Filed under: Gemmatimonadota bacterium
Lineage: Bacteria; Pseudomonadati; Gemmatimonadota
Description: Gemmatimonadetes bacterium (bioreactor metagenome) tRNA-Pro
Rfam family: tRNA
About the family: Transfer RNA (tRNA) molecules are approximately 80 nucleotides in length.
Source: RNAcentral
CGGGGCGUAGCUUAGCCCGGUAGAGCGCCUGCUUUGGGAGCAGGAGGCCGCGGGUUCGAAUCCCGCCGCCCCGA